RNAcentral lists this ribosomal RNA (451 nucleotides) under uncultured bacterium. RNAcentral describes it as "partial 16S ribosomal RNA". It matches the Rfam family "Bacterial small subunit ribosomal RNA", at positions 354 to 796 of the family's 1533-position model. The record is from RNAcentral.
GUGGGGAAUAUUGGACAAUGGGGGGAACCCUGAUCCAGCCAUGCCGCGUGUGUGAAGAAGGCCUUUUGGUUGUAAAGCACUUUAAGCGAGGAGGAGGCUACUUAGAUUAAUACUCUAGGAUAGUGGACGUUACUCGCAGAAUAAGCACCGGCUAACUCUGUGCCAGCAGCCGCGGUAAUACAGAGGGUGCAAGCGUUAAUCGGAUUUACUGGGCGUAAAGCGCGCGUAGGUGGCCAAUUAAGUCAAAUGUGAAAUCCCCGAGCUUAACUUGGGAAUUGCAUUCGAUACUGGUUGGCUAGAGUAUGGGAGAGGAUGGUAGAAUUCCAGGUGUAGCGGUGAAAUGCGUAGAGAUCUGGAGGAAUACCGAUGGCGAAGGCAGCCAUCUGGCCUAAUACUGACACUGAGGUGCGAAAGCAUGGGGAGCAAACAGGAUUAGAAACCCGUGUAGUCC